CGGUCAGGCCCAAGCGCUUCUGAUGGAAGAAUAAGGUCUUAAACCUGGAGAGACAAACAAAGUGCGCUCAACGACUACUGCUCCCUCCAAGAAUUCACACCGUUUUCGUCUCCAGCGACACCAUGACUUCGACGCGUUCUGCAAACCUGUCACCGUGGAAUCAACAUGCCAACGCGCCAUGAAUUCCAUAACUCUUCAUCCUCUCCCGUGUUUGAGACGAACUCGGCACUGCAUAAUGGAAAGAACGCUUAUCCUCACAAGCGACGGCGUACAGUAGGAUUUCAACAACCGGAAGAGAAGCGUACAUGACCGUGCUCUCGUCGCUGCGUCCAUUUCAAAGCGCAGUUCCUUAAGUGAGGAAACGAUGGCUUCACCUCCCCGAUCCACAGCUUAAACCAGACUAAACAUAAGCGAUACAACAAAGUCUAAUUGAAGACUCACAGGGAUAAACAGGUGAUGCAAAAUGGAAGUAACUUGGUCUUGAAGGAGCAUAAUGCAUGAUCAUGAAGAUGGUAGAUGAAGAAAGACCCAAAAUGGGAAAUGUUGAUGCAAAGCGAGGCUUUCUUGGAGUGGAAACCAAUUUGGAUGGGAGAUUGAAUGAAAUGAUUAAGCAUGAGGCAUGGUGGUUUAGGAUUAGGUUCUUUUUAUAAUUGAAUUUAAACAUUAUGAUGUAAGCAUGUGUAGGCUAUGGUUUGGAAUUGAAUUUAGAAUUGUAAGAAAUGAUUGUGUGUAGUUUUAUGAAGUUGUAUGGGAUGGUCAUGUAUUGGAAAUACUUGUAGUCUUGGAUUUGCAUAGCCAUAUGAAUGAUAGUAAAAUGGAAAAUUUGUAAUGGAAAUGGUUUAUGGCUUAAA
This is a long non-coding RNA of Lathyrus oleraceus (garden pea), 851 nucleotides long. RefSeq lists it as uncharacterized. Lineage: Eukaryota; Viridiplantae; Streptophyta; Magnoliopsida; Fabales; Fabaceae. The transcript is spliced from 2 exons. The record is from RefSeq and is a predicted model, not a curated record.